Molecule: ribosomal RNA, 262 nt
Filed under: uncultured archaeon
Lineage: Archaea
Description: partial 16S ribosomal RNA
Rfam family: Archaeal small subunit ribosomal RNA
Source: RNAcentral
UAGCCGUAAACGAUACUCGCUAGGUGUCGGCCACGGUGCGACCGUUGUCGGUGCCGUAGGGAAGCCGUGAAGCGAGCCACCUGGGAAGUACGGCCGCAAGGCUGAAACUUAAAGGAAUUGGCGGGGGAGCACAACAACGGGUGGAGCUUGCGGUUUAAUUGGAUUUCAACGCCGGAAAUCUUACCGGGACCGACAGCAACAUGAAGGCCAAGCUGAAGACUUUGCCGGAUUAGCUGAGAGGUGGUGCAUGGCGUAGUCGUAU